RNAcentral lists this ribosomal RNA (497 nucleotides) under uncultured bacterium. Its description in RNAcentral is "partial 16S ribosomal RNA". It matches the Rfam family "Bacterial small subunit ribosomal RNA", at positions 28 to 507 of the family's 1533-position model. The record is from RNAcentral.
GAUGAACGCUGGCGGCGUGCCUAAUACAUGCAAGUCGAGCGAACGGACGAGAAGCUUGCUUCUCUGAUGUUAGCGGCGGACGGGUGAGUAACACGUGGAUAACCUACCUAUAAGACUGGGAUAACUUCGGGAAACCGUAGCUAAUACCGGAUAAUAUUUUGAACCGCAUGGUUCAAAAGUGAAAGACGGUCUUGCUGUCACUUAUAGAUGGAUCCGCGCUGCAUUAGCUAGUUGGUAAGGUAACGGCUUACCAAGGCAACGAUGCAUAGCCGACCUGAGAGGGUGAUCGGCCACACUGGAACUGAGACACGGUCCAGACUCCUACGGGAGGCAGCAGUAGGGAAUCUUCCGCAAUGGGCGAAAGCCUGGCGGAGCAACGCCGCGUGAGUGAUGAAGGUCUUCGGAUCGUAAAACUCUGUUAUUAGGGAAGAACAUAUGUGGAAGUAACUGUGCACAUCUUGACGGUACCUAAUCAGAAAGCCACGGCUAACUACGUG